Molecule: transfer RNA, 57 nt
Organism: Ovis aries (sheep)
Lineage: Eukaryota; Metazoa; Chordata; Mammalia; Artiodactyla; Bovidae
Rfam family: tRNA
About the family: Transfer RNA (tRNA) molecules are approximately 80 nucleotides in length. Their secondary structure includes four short double-helical elements and three loops (D, anti-codon, and T loops).
Source: Rfam
UGGCUCAGAUGGUAAAGCGUCUGCCUACAAUGCGGGAGACCCAGGUUCGAUCCCUGG